Molecule: ribosomal RNA, 301 nt
Filed under: uncultured bacterium
Lineage: Bacteria
Description: partial 16S ribosomal RNA
Rfam family: Bacterial small subunit ribosomal RNA
Source: RNAcentral
CAGUAGCCACGGUAAAACGAAGGGUGCAAGCGUUAAUCGGAAUUACUGGGCGUAAAGCGUGCGUAGGCGGUUUGUUAAGUCUGCUGUGAAAUCCCCGGGCUCAACCUGGGAAUGGCAGUGGAUACUGGCAAGCUAGAGUGUGUCAGAGGAUGGUGGAAUUCCCGGUGUAGCGGUGAAAUGCGUAGAGAUCGGGAGGAACAUCAGUGGCGAAGGCGGCCAUCUGGGACAACACUGACGCUGAGUCACGAAAGCGUGGGGAGCAAACAGGAUUAGAUACCCGGGUAGUCCCUGUCUCUUAUAC